GCGUGCCUAAUACAUGCAAGUCGAACGAACUCUGGUAUUGAUUGGUGCUUGCAUCAUGAUUUACAUUUGAGUGAGUGGCGAACUGGUGAGUAACACGUGGGAAACCUGCCCAGAAGCGGGGGAUAACACCUGGAAACAGAUGCUAAUACCGCAUAACAACUUGGACCGCAUGGUCCGAGUUUGAAAGAUGGCUUCGGCUAUCACUUUUGGAUGGUCCCGCGGCGUAUUAGCUAGAUGGUGGGGUAACGGCUCACCAUGGCAAUGAUACGUAGCCGACCUGAGAGGGUAAUCGGCCACAUUGGGACUGAGACACGGCCCAAACUCCUACGGGAGGCAGCAGUAGGGAAUCUUCCACAAUGGACGAAAGUCUGAUGGAGCAACGCCGCGUGAGUGAAGAAGGGUUUCGGCUCGUAAAACUCUGUUGUUAAAGAAGAACAUAUCUGAGAGUAACUGUUCAGGUAUUGACGGUAUUUAACCAGAAAGCCACGGCUAACUACGUGCCAGCAGCCGCGGUAAUACGUAGGUGGCAAGCGUUGUCCGGAUUUAUUGGGCGUAAAGCGAGCGCAGGCGGUUUUUUAAGUCUGAUGUGAAAGCCUUCGGCUCAACCGAAGAAGUGCAUCGGAAACUGGGAAACUUGAGUGCAGAAGAGGACAGUGGAACUCCAUGUGUAGCGGUGAAAUGCGUAGAUAUAUGGAAGAACACCAGUGGCGAAGGCGGCUGUCUGGUCUGUAACUGACGCUGAGGCUCGAAAGUAUGGGUAGCAAACAGGAUUAGAUACCCUGGUAGUCCAUACCGUAAACGAUGAAUGCUAAGUGUUGGAGGGUUUCCGCCCUUCAGUGCUGCAGCUAACGCAUUAAGCAUUCCGCCUGGGGAGUACGGCCGCAAGGCUGAAACUCAAAGGAAUUGACGGGGGCCCGCACAAGCGGUGGAGCAUGUGGUUUAAUUCGAAGCUACGCGAAGAACCUUACCAGGUCUUGACAUACUAUGCAAAUCUAAGAGAUUAGACGUUCCCUUCGGGGACAUGGAUACAGGUGGUGCAUGGUUGUCGUCAGCUCGUGUCGUGAGAUGUUGGGUUAAGUCCCGCAACGAGCGCAACCCUUAUUAUCAGUUGCCAGCAUUAAGUUGGGCACUCUGGUGAGACUGCCGGUGACAAACCGGAGGAAGGUGGGGAUGACGUCAAAUCAUCAUGCCCCUUAUGACCUGGGCUACACACGUGCUACAAUGGAUGGUACAACGAGUUGCGAACUCGCGAGAGUAAGCUAAUCUCUUAAAGCCAUUCUCAGUUCGGAUUGUAGGCUGCAACUCGCCUACAUGAAGUCGGAAUCGCUAGUAAUCGCGGAUCAGCAUGCCGCGGUGAAUACGUUCCCGGGCCUUGUACACACCGCCCGUCACACCAUGAGAGUUUGUAACACCCAAAGUCGGUGGGGUAACCUUUUAGGAACCAGCCGCCUAAGGUGGGACAGAUGAUUAGGGUGAAGUCGUAACAAGGU
RNAcentral lists this ribosomal RNA (1490 nucleotides) under Lactiplantibacillus plantarum. Its description in RNAcentral is "bacterial SSU rRNA". It matches the Rfam family "Bacterial small subunit ribosomal RNA". The record is from RNAcentral. Lineage: Bacteria; Bacillati; Bacillota; Bacilli; Lactobacillales; Lactobacillaceae.